Aegilops tauschii subsp. strangulata is the source of this 712-nucleotide non-coding RNA. The record is from RefSeq and is a predicted model, not a curated record. Lineage: Eukaryota; Viridiplantae; Streptophyta; Magnoliopsida; Poales; Poaceae.
GCCCAGCACCGGCAGUUGCACUGCACCCUGCAAAAAAAAGAACAAUCGCAAGUUCAGGAUCAGAAAGAUGAGAAGUUCAAGAAGAACAAAAGGGACAACCAUGUUGAUGGCGACUGAAAAAGGAUUCUGAAAUAAUAUUGAGACUAAAGGCCAAGUUUGAUGCACAAUGUCGGAGGAUUCCAAGGCUUUUUCUGAGGCGGUCGAUGGCUUUCCAGAGAUGGGUUCAUAUCUCACAAGUUUCCAGGGGUUCAAGUUCAUCUAUGUAAGAAGGAAUGCCAAUUUUGUUGCACAUUUGUGUGUGAAAAGAGGCAACGAAACUUGUUGUACUUCCUAUUUCUUUUCUUGUAACACCUACCUACCUGAUUGAGACCAUUCUAUCACAGUUAUUUUUGCCUGCCAUGGCCUGGCGCCUCCUCCGUCUCGGCGCCACCAUCACGACCCAGCCUCCAUUAGCUGGUCGCUGCUAGAUGCUGUUGCUGCGGCUUGCCUCACCGUCUAGUUGAUGUUGGUGCACUGCUGCUGUAGUUCAACUAGAGUAGGAGAGAGAGAGAUUUCUUUGAGAGCUUAGCUGCUGCUGCUGUUCUUGGUUUUUGUUUUUGAACUUGUUGCUGACCGAGGUUAAAGAUAAUGAUGUUGCUUUCUACAAAUGUCCCUCUCGUAGAUAUAUCAUUCUCCAUUCUCUUGGAAGCUUCAACAUUUUGAAUGAUCAGAA